AAAACAACUCUCAGCAACGGAUAUCUUGGCUCUUGCAACGAUGAAGAACGC
RNAcentral lists this ribosomal RNA (51 nucleotides) under Palamocladium euchloron. RNAcentral describes it as "partial 5.8S ribosomal RNA". It matches the Rfam family "5.8S ribosomal RNA", at positions 1 to 46 of the family's 154-position model. Rfam says of the family: 5.8S ribosomal RNA (5.8S rRNA) is a component of the large subunit of the eukaryotic ribosome. It is transcribed by RNA polymerase I as part of the 45S precursor that also contains 18S and 28S rRNA. Lineage: Eukaryota; Viridiplantae; Streptophyta; Bryopsida; Hypnales; Brachytheciaceae. The record is from RNAcentral.